Molecule: ribosomal RNA, 253 nt
Filed under: uncultured bacterium
Lineage: Bacteria
Description: partial 16S ribosomal RNA
Rfam family: Bacterial small subunit ribosomal RNA
Source: RNAcentral
UACGGAGGGUGCAAGCGUUAUCCGGAUUCACUGGGUUUAAAGGGUGCGUAGUCGGAUAUGUAAGUCCGUGGUGAAAUCUCUGGGCUUAACCCGGAAACUGCCAUGGAUACUAUGUGUCUUGAAUGUUGUUGAGGUGAGCGGAAUAUGUCAUGUAGCGGUGAAAUGCUUAGAUAUGACAUAGAACACCAAUUGCGAAGGCAGCUCACUAAGCAAAUAUUGACGCUGAGGCACGAAAGCGUGGGGAUCAAACAGG